GACAGAGGGUGCAAACGUUGUUCGGAUUUACUGGGCGUAAAGCGUGUGUAGGCGGCUUUGUAUGUCGGACGUGAAAGCCCACGGCUCAACCGUGGAAGUGCAUCCGAAACUGCAUAGCUUGAGUCCCGGAGAGGAAGGUGGAAUGCUUGGUGUAGAGGUGAAAUUCGUAGAUAUCAAGCAGAACACCUGCGGCGAAGGCGGCCUUCUGGACGGUGACUGACGCUGAGACACGAAAGCGUGGGGAGCAAACAGG
RNAcentral lists this ribosomal RNA (253 nucleotides) under uncultured bacterium. RNAcentral's name for it is "partial 16S ribosomal RNA". It matches the Rfam family "Bacterial small subunit ribosomal RNA", at positions 524 to 776 of the family's 1533-position model. The record is from RNAcentral.